CACGUAGGGGCGAGCGUUGUCCGGAAUUACUGGGCGUAAAGGGCGCGCAGGCUGUUAUGCGAGUCAGAUGUGAAAUCCUUCGGCUCAACCGAAGAACUGCAUCUGAAACUUCAUAGCUCGAGUACAGGAGAGGGAAACGGAAUUCCCGGUGUAGAGGUGAAAUUCGUAGAUAUCGGGAGGAACACCAGUGGCGAAGGCGGUUUCCUGGCCUGAUACUGACGCUGAGGCGCGAAAGCGUGGGGAGCAAACAGGAUUAGAUACCCUGGUA
RNAcentral lists this ribosomal RNA (268 nucleotides) under uncultured prokaryote. RNAcentral's name for it is "partial 16S ribosomal RNA". It matches the Rfam family "Bacterial small subunit ribosomal RNA", at positions 524 to 792 of the family's 1533-position model. The record is from RNAcentral.